Cyprinus carpio carpio is the source of this 2085-nucleotide long non-coding RNA. The record is from Ensembl. NCBI's taxonomy places the organism in Eukaryota, Metazoa, Chordata, Actinopteri, Cypriniformes, Cyprinidae.
AAAAGGUCUUUGGGUUUUAACUGUACCUUCCCCUAAAGCUCCGUUGUUGCACUCAGGUCCUUCGGGUCCAUUGAAAGACACUUUACAGGAGUAUCUUAAAGUACUCACGUGCGCAUUGAAGAAUGCCCAUUUCAGUGCCCUCAGUGCUCAACAUGCUGGAGAUCUUAAAAACACUAUAUUCAAUGUAAAGGCUAAAAACCCCGUACAAGUGGGGGAUGAGGUAAUGAUACAAAAAAUAGGGAACUUAGGACCAAUGUCCUCCAGGUAUGAGGGUCCUUAUUUGGUGUUGUUGACUACUCCAACAUCUCUUCUUGUUGAAAUCGAGCCAGGGCUGACUCGAUGGAUGCAUCUUGCACAAGUGAAGCCUCUGUCGCCGCUUGCUGAUACUAACUCUCUUUCUAAUGUGAUUUAGUCCAACAGGUGCAGUAUUUUAUAUCCAAGGAAUGGCUGCUAAGGAAGAACAAUGACUAAUUGUUUCCUCUCUUUAGGUUCUCAACUAUGAUUCCAUCCGGACCUGUUGUGUUAAUAAUAAUAAUAAAAAAAAUAUAUAUAUAUAUAUAUAAAAAGAGAGACUGAAAACCAUGGUGUUUAUGUUUGUGUGUAUUGGUGUUGUCCUGUUUGGUUGUCUAUGUGUCGUUGUGUGUGUUGUGUUUUUGUUUUUAUCCCAAAAUUUCUGCUCCUACUAUUCUUUAUCUCUAAAAGGUACGAGUGCAUGCUGUCACAGAAAUAUUCUGCGACUGGUUCUAAGGGUGACUCUUUGAUGUGACUUCUGCAACAGUGCAGCUCAUUGACAUUCUGGGAGUGGUUGCUGUGCUCAUGGCUGGACAUCAGUACCUGUGCUAAAAUCUACCAGCUGAUAGAUAUAUAUAGAUUUACAAAUUCCUACAUUAAGAUGCCUUAAAAGAUUGUUGAUCAAAGAGAUUCUUAUUCUCCCAUUUAUACCAGUAGUGAUGAGGAAAUCUAUACCUUGCAGGUGAAGGGUAAGGAAAGGUAUGAGAUGUUGAAAACGAUCAACGAAAGUUUGGAAAUUAACGACAUGGUACCAUAAGGACAAAUAUCUUCAGCUACUAUCUCCUAAGGGCAAGAAGAGAAAGAACGAUGAUAGAGUUUAGAGUUGGGAAAGAUGGAAGGCUGUGGUAAGUCCUCAACCCAGCAAAAGUCCAGGGGACGCCAGGGGUCGAAUUUCCUUAGGAGUUCUCGUCUGGCCAUCUUGGUGAAGAUCUUUGUUAAUUUUAAGGUAGCUGGGGUUAGAGAGGUAUCUACAGUACUAUCUAUCUGAAAUUGUUUUAUUGAUUUUCUAUAUUUUCAUGUAUGCAUCAUUUAUUUUUCUUUUGAAUUACUCUGUAUUUUUGGUUUUGAUUUAAGGAAAAGGUUGUGGCGAGUCUUUUGAUAAGACUCGAGUGGGGGAUUGGUGUGUGGAGAUUCUAAGAAAUCCACAUGGUGAUAGAGAUUCUGAGAAGAAGUCCAUGUAUUUAAAUUAAACCCAAGUGUUGUUGAGAGAUUCUGAGAAGUCACGUACUCAAAAUGUGUUCUAUUCAUAAUGAUAAGUUUUAUUUCAAAAGUUAAAAAUUAAUAUUUCAUGGUAAGGAUCUGUCUCAUAUAUAUAUUAACAGGUUUCAUUUUUAUAUUCAAAAAUGUUUUUGGUAAACUUUAUGGUAUAUUUCAUAUGUAAUUUCACAGUAUUUCUAACUGCGUAGUCAGCUGAGUCUGUUUUGCAUAUGAAGUUGAACUGCACGUAUUGUUCUUUUAAAUCAAUAUUUCUUAGAAUUAUCAGUAUGAUACUUUGAAUCUAAAAGAGGAAGAAGUCCAAAAUCGAGACAUUGACUAGACUAUUUUUAAAGGUUAGGUGUUAUUAGUGAUAGCCAGAUGACGACUUAUGUCUAGAACAACAGUAUAUAAGAUAGACUCUGCAAAAUAGAAUAGGGUUUGACUUUCUGAGACUCUGGUCUCUCUAUCUUUUCAGCUCACUUCCUCUUCUUUGGCUUCACUCGACAACUCCUCUUAGACUCAGACUUAGAACUCUUACAGGUUUUUAUUCAAAUUCAGAUACCUUGAAAUUCAGAUACUUUGAUACUCUGAUACUUU